Molecule: long non-coding RNA, 319 nt
Filed under: Elaeis guineensis (African oil palm)
Lineage: Eukaryota; Viridiplantae; Streptophyta; Magnoliopsida; Arecales; Arecaceae
Description: long non-coding RNA (EGUI_LNC046695)
Source: RNAcentral
AUGACUAAUCGAUGAUUGAGAAUCAUUCAAGGGUAAUUGUCAAUACGAUUGAUGAUUUACCUUGUGCAAUAGUUACAAUAAAAUUAUUUGCUAAGAGUUAGUAAAAUUUAAGAAAAUUAAUUAGUAAUUAGAUUAUUGAUUAGCUCAAUUUGAUUGAGCAUUGAAGUUUGGAUCAAGUCUAAUUGAAUUGGAUUCAAUUAGGUCAAAUCCAAUUAGGUUAUAAGAUGACCUAAUCGCUAAGGGAUAUUAAGCCCUAAUUUGAUCAAGACUUGGAUCCAAUUAAUUUUUCAUUGAGUUAGGAACAAGUUAGAUUGGGUUC